RNAcentral lists this ribosomal RNA (301 nucleotides) under uncultured bacterium. Its description in RNAcentral is "partial 16S ribosomal RNA". It matches the Rfam family "Bacterial small subunit ribosomal RNA", at positions 509 to 809 of the family's 1533-position model. The record is from RNAcentral.
CAGCAGCCGCGGUAACACGAAGGGGGCUAGCGUUGUUCGGAUUUACUGGGCGUAAAGGGCGCGUAGGCGGACUGAUAAGUCAGGGGUGAAAUCCCAAGGCUCAACCUUGGAACUGCCUUUGAUACUGUUUGUCUUGAGUUCGAGAGAGGUAAGUGGAACUGUGAGUGUAGAGGUGAAAUUCGUAGAUAUUCGCAAGAACACCAGUGGCGAAGGCGGCUUACUGGCUCGAAACUGACGCUGAGGCGCGAAAGCGUGGGGAGCAAACAGGAUUAGAUACCCGCGUAGUCCCUGUCUCUUAUAA